This 380-nucleotide ribosomal RNA is filed under the name uncultured eukaryote. RNAcentral describes it as "SSU rRNA". It matches the Rfam family "Eukaryotic small subunit ribosomal RNA", at positions 587 to 972 of the family's 1831-position model. The record is from RNAcentral.
AGCUCCAAUAGCGUAUAUUAAAGUUGUUGCGGUUAAAAGCUCGUAGUUGGAUUUCUUCCAGGGGCAGUCGGUCCACACUACGUGUGCGUAUCUGAUUUGACUUUGGAAUCCUCUUGGGGAACAUCUCUGCGCUUAACUGCGUGGAAUGGUAUUCAAGACUUUUACUUUGAGGAAAUUAGAGUGUUCACGGCAGGCAAUCGCCCUGAAUACAUUAGCAUGGAAUAAUAAUAUAGGAUUUCGGUUCUAUUUUGUUGGUUUCUAGAGCUGAAAUAAUGAUUAAUAGGGACACUUGGGGGCAUUCGUAUUAUCACGUCAGAGGUGGAAUUCUUGGAUUGUGUUACGACGAACUACUGCGAAAGCAUUUGCCAAGGAUGUUUUCA